This is a non-coding RNA of Pelobates cultripes (western spadefoot toad), 408 nucleotides long. NCBI's taxonomy places the organism in Eukaryota, Metazoa, Chordata, Amphibia, Anura, Pelobatidae. The record is from the annotation of a GenBank genome assembly.
CUGAGUACCGGGUCAGGUUUUUUGGUGUCUUCUGAGCCUGAUGGCCGUAUGACCGAAAGUCUGUGUAGACAAGUAGUAAAGAGAUAACGUAUCUUGGGCGUAAGCCUGAGGAAAGGUAGUAAUGGAGUUGAGACCGCGUGAGGUCUAGUAUUGAAAAGAGAGUGAACUAUACCUUGGUUUUGAAGUACAGAGAUUAUGUUUAAUCGAGGCAGGUUAACUGCGUAGAAACGGUGGAAGCUUAGACUAAUACAGGAUCUAAGGGUUAAACCAAGACAAUUUCCAUAUUUAGCGAUAGAUGUGAAGGUAAUUGAUAAAAACCUGAUAACUCAAAGUGAUAAUAUACCAUACCUGUUCCUGUAAUAAAAGGACCUUGAAAUAACAACUUUAGUGCAGAAAAGCAAGAGACCG